UGAAGAGAAAAAAAAAAAAAACAGUUGCUUAAGUUUAUUGUUAGGCUAACCACUUCUGCCUCUGUAAACUGGCCUGCUUAUUGCUCACCACCUCUGCUUCUGUGAACUGGCCUACUUAUUGGGUCAGCCAAACUGCUUAGGCGGGAAAGUCACUAGGACCCAGAAUCCCAUGCCAUAGAAAAGAUAGCCAGAACAAAGCCUGUGCACUCAGCCUCUGGAGGCAACUCUGGAGUCCAGACAGGUGCUAAAUAAACUGCUGUUCUGCAUCUCCCAGUGUCACUGGUCUCUC
RNAcentral lists this long non-coding RNA (289 nucleotides) under Bos taurus (domestic cattle). RNAcentral's name for it is "long non-coding RNA NONBTAT015398". Lineage: Eukaryota; Metazoa; Chordata; Mammalia; Artiodactyla; Bovidae. The record is from RNAcentral.